Non-coding RNA from Nicotiana tabacum (common tobacco), 2541 nucleotides. Lineage: Eukaryota; Viridiplantae; Streptophyta; Magnoliopsida; Solanales; Solanaceae. The record is from RefSeq and is a predicted model, not a curated record.
UUUUUGGAAAAGGGUGGUUGUAAAUUUAGGAAGUUCUGAUUUGUUGCCCUAGCAAGAGGGUUAUAAAUACACACUUUAGGCUAAAGAGAAAAUGGGGAUACGGCAGAAAACAAAAAAUAUUGGCAAAGAAAAAUUUUAUCUCAAACUUUUCCUAGUACUUUUGUUUUUUCUUAGCAUUUUCUGGUUUCUUCUAGUGAUCCUGGUCAUCAAGAAAUAUUGAGAGGGACCUUUGUUGCUGCUAUAGUGACUGCUAUGCUCCAUUUAUAAUUUUCAGAUUUUUAUUUUUGAUUCUUCUUCUAGUAGGUAUGUAAACUUCAGCUUUGAAUGGAAUUUAGAAUAAAUUUUGCUCAUGCUAAGUCCUUGUUUCUAGAUCUGUAUUUUGUGCAUCUUUCUAUCUUUCGAAUCCAUUUAAUUCUCAUCGCAUAACUAAUAUCAUGAUUCUUGCUUCAAUUAAGUGUAAAAUUAUUUAGGUUAGUAAGGUAUUAUGUUAAAAGUUAGCUUGUAGGAUCCGAAAAUGUUCAUCUAAACUCCUACAUGUCUCAUCGAUUUGAUUUCUUUUUACUACUAAUAAAAUAUUUAAGAAGUGAAGUGUACUGCAAAUAAAGUCUUUAUUAUGAAGUUCAUUGUGAAUCGCAAUUAAAUUUGUUAGCUAGCAAAAGAAAAAUGUAUUAUGUGUGUAAUGCAGAUUGAAGGUGGUUUGUUAUAUUGUAUCUUGCUUGAUAGUGACCUUUCAUUCCAUAAGCAUGUCCCUUCUGACAGAAUGUGUACCUUGGUUAAAAAGAAAAAAAUGUUAAAUCAUUAGGAGGGGGAUGGAACGGCUCCACUGUUGAGUUUUUGGUAUUUGGUCUUGGUAAGGAUAGUAUCUAACAUACAUGUCAUUUUCGAUUACAACAGUGUUAGCUAGAGAAUGUUGAAAUCCUUAUUGUGUGUAAUUGCUUGCACUCUACUUGGUAAAUUCCUUGGAAUGGAAAGGAAGUUAACAACGGUGAAUCCUCUGAAUUGCUGCUGAAUUUUAAUCAAUUGAAGGCGCAUUUGCGGAUCUUAGUGGAGAUCAAUAGCCGGAAAAUAGUCACCCGAUGAACAUGAAUAAUUCGCCCUGGGCAUAGUUAGAACAUCACGACUACGGGGCCGAUUUUGUUGCAAAAUGGUGUUAAUCACUUGUUCUAACAAAGAGCAAAUGGCUAACAUCAUUUGGGGAUGAAAUCGGAAAAAAUUCAAAUGCCAAAUGAACCUGUUGAGUUGGUGAGUCCCCAGUACUACCUCUUUUCUUUUCUUGUUUUUAUUUCAUUUUUGCCUCGUAUUUUUCUCUUCUUGAGUUUUGAAUUAAGGUUAAAAGUGUGAAAUGUCCGUUCGUUGUCCUUAUGUUCAUAUUCGUGCAUGUCGUUAAUUAAUUUGAUAACUGAUUUUGCUUUUCAAUCUAGUCGAAGGUUUUAAUCUUUUGUUUACUAUAAUCAAGGUACUUCAGAACUUAGGGGAAUAAAUAACAGAAGUUUUGAGGGUAAUUUGGGUAGGAAAAUCUGCCAAUAAUUAAAUAGGAGGUUUCUCAAUAGUGGUAGGGUCUAGGAAAUGCACUACUGAAUUAGUUAAAAAAACAUUAAGUUAGUGGAAUGAAUUAAAAAAUAGAAAAGGGUAUUGGUAGUGGAAACUACACUUGUUUAAGGACCUUUUAAGAGCUGGAAAACAGAAGAACAUGGGGGUGUGAUUAAAAGGCUAAGGGAUACACAUGGUAAGAGAAUAAAACAAGCUGGAAAGGGAAAAGAUUUGAAUAAAAAAGGGAGUUGGCUCUAGUCUUAAAACAGACACACAUAGACAGAAAGAUGGGCAUUGAGAUACACACAGACAGACCUAAGAGAAGGGGAUAGAAUCAGAAGUGAGGAGAAAACUACUGUUCCAUUGCUGUUCUGCAUUAAAUCUUGAAACUUUCUAUUCCUAGAUAAGUUUUCUGAUUUUCUACAGUUUCAAAAACGAUUUGAAUUGGUUUUGGAAAGUAUUUGUUCGAAUUUUCCAUCCGUUAACUGUUACAUUGAUAUAUCCGGGGUUAUUAGUUGUCUUCUCGGAUAAAAUCUGGGCUGAUCGCUGUUCUUGCUACUGUUCUGCUGCUGCUUCCUCAUUUUCUGUGUUGUUUUCGAAUUCCAGGUACCACCUUAGCCCCCCCUGAGUAGCAAGUGAUUGUUGAAACAUGUAAAUCGAGAGAUUGGUUGAAUACAGGAUACAUUGCACUUAAUUUCUUUUGUUUUCUUCCAUUUCUUUAAGUAUUCUGUAGUAAACCUUGUAUUACAUAUGUUUAGCCUAAUUAUUGUACUAAGGAAGUGAAUCUAUGACCUUUAAGAAUUCCUCAUCUGUUUGAUGGCUUAACAGCCGGAUUCACUAUGUUUUCUGCCUAAUUUCUGAUUUAGGCAGUAAAGUUCGAAUGCACAAGUUUAAUUUGGGACUGUUAGAGAUAGUGUAGUAUCUGGUUUGUUCUAGUUACACGACCAGUUUUGUUUCUUCUAUAUUGCUGGAAGUCAGCGUGAUAGUUUCGUAUGGAAUUUGCAAAAAUGA